RNAcentral lists this ribosomal RNA (447 nucleotides) under uncultured bacterium. RNAcentral describes it as "bacterial SSU rRNA". It matches the Rfam family "Bacterial small subunit ribosomal RNA", at positions 355 to 825 of the family's 1533-position model. The record is from RNAcentral.
UGGGGAAUCUUGGACAAUGGGCGCAAGCCUGAUCCAGCCAUGCCGCGUGAGUGAAGAAGGCCUUCGGGUUGUAAAGCUCUUUUACCAGGGACGAUAAUGACGGUACCUGGAGAAUAAGCCCCGGCAAACUUCGUGCCAGCAGCCGCGGUAAUACGAAGGGGGCUAGCGUUGUUCGGAAUUACUGGGCGUAAAGCGCACGUAGGCGGAUUGUUAAGUCAGAGGUGAAAUCCCGGAGCUCAACUUCGGAACUGCCUUUGAUACUGGCAAUCUAGAGUCCGGAAGAGGUUAGUGGAAUUCCCAGUGUAGAGGUGAAAUUCGUAGAUAUUGGGAAGAACACCAGUGGCGAAGGCGGCUAACUGGUCCGGUACUGACGCUGAGGUGCGAAAGCGUGGGGAGCAAACAGGAUUAGAUACCCCUGUAGUCCCUGAGCGGGCUGGCAAGGCGCAU